This 497-nucleotide ribosomal RNA is filed under the name uncultured bacterium. Its description in RNAcentral is "partial 16S ribosomal RNA". It matches the Rfam family "Bacterial small subunit ribosomal RNA", at positions 28 to 507 of the family's 1533-position model. The record is from RNAcentral.
GAUGAACGCUGGCGGCGUGCCUAAUACAUGCAAGUCGAGCGAACAGACGAGGAGCUUGCUCCUCUGACGUUAGCGGCGGACGGGUGAGUAACACGUGGAUAACCUACCUAUAAGACUGGGAUAACUUUGGGAAACCGGAGCUAAUACCGGAUAAUAUAUUGAACCGCAUGGUUCAAUAGUGAAAGACGGUUUUGCUGUCACUUAUAGAUGGAUUCGCGCCGCAUUAGAUAGUUGGUAAGGUAACGGCUUACCAAGGCGACGAUGCGUAGCCGACCUGAGAGGGUGAUCGGCCACACUGGAACUGAGACACGGUCCAGACUCCUACGGGAGGCAGCAGUAGGGAAUCUUCCGCAAUGGGCGAAAGCCUGACGGAGCAACGCCGCGUGAGUGAUGAGGGUCUUCGGAUCGUAAAACUCUGUUAUUAGGGAAGAACAAAUGUGUAAGUAACUAUGCAAGUCUUGACGGUACCUAAUCAGAAAGCCACGGCUAACUACGUG